This 220-nucleotide ribosomal RNA is filed under the name uncultured Staphylococcus sp. Its description in RNAcentral is "partial 16S ribosomal RNA". It matches the Rfam family "Bacterial small subunit ribosomal RNA", at positions 143 to 354 of the family's 1533-position model. Lineage: Bacteria; Bacillati; Bacillota; Bacilli; Caryophanales; Staphylococcaceae. The record is from RNAcentral.
AUAACUUACGGGAAACCGGAGCUAAUACCGGAUAAUAUUUCGAACCGCAUGGUUCGAUAGUGAAAGAUGGUUUUGCUAUCACUUAUAGAUGGACCUGCGCCGUAUUAGCUAGUUUGUAAGGUAACGGCUUACCAAGGCGACGAUACGUAGCCGACCUGAGAGGGUGAUCGGCCACACUGGAACUGAGACACGGUCCAGACUCCUACGGGAGGCAGCAGAC